CGAGCCACAACAGGAACUCCCCAAAUUACUGAUUUUUAAAAAUAGUAACUUAAAACUGCCACAUGCAAAACAAAUGGUCCACAGAAUAUUUUCCUUUCCUUCUGAAGACUUUACAAUGCAAUUGUUAUCAUUAGCCAGUCUUUUACUAUUAAACUUAAAUGGCCAAUUGAGACAAAGCAUUUCUGUGGCUGUUUUUCUGCCACUGAUUUAAGAGUGGGGGUGGCAGGUAUUGGGGGUAAUAUUCAUUUAGCUUUCCUCACUUUCUGGGCAGACUUGGCAACUUUGCCACUUCCUGCUGCCUCUUCUUGUCUAAUGCUCUGAUGACACCCACAGCAAUCAUCUGUCUCAUGUCAUGAGCAGCAAAACAGCCCAGAGGAGGAUAGUUAGAGAAGCUCUCAACACAGAUGGGCUUGCCAGGAAUCACAUCAGCAAUGGCAGCAUCACUAGAUUUCAAGGAUUUGGGAUGGGAAUAACACAGCUGUCAGAGAGCCAGUGAAAGAUGAAAGCGGACGGUCAUCACCAGCAGCAGACUGAACAACUGGAUCACAGACAUGCUCGCAGCCAUUCAGAAGGAGGACAGCAAACUCAGGCACGAGCUGUUUUUUACAAAAUGUCCAACAGGUGGGGCCUGCAUCAGCCUCCUUGCAUCCAGGGCCAACGUACAAAAAAGGGUUUCUGCAGACUUCAAAGAAAUUAAAACUAUCCUUUGUGUAAACCCUGGGAGCUGGCUUUGAACGGAAUCAGACUUGGUGGUUUCGUAAGGGAGAAAGCUUUAAAGCUUUAAAAUUACGGUGAAAAUAAAAACCCAUUUUCCUUUU
This is a non-coding RNA of Sus scrofa (pig), 818 nucleotides long. The record is from RefSeq and is a predicted model, not a curated record. Lineage: Eukaryota; Metazoa; Chordata; Mammalia; Artiodactyla; Suidae.